AUGGACUUAAACAAGUCACAAGUUGGUGAAUUUGGAGGACCAAAUUUGACAGACUUAGCAUAAGAAUAAGAUAUCAGUUAUUGGGAUAAACUAUAAGUAUUUACCCUGGCUAAUAAAAGUUUAUCUUUAACGAAAAUAUUAAAAAAAAAAUAAACCAAUCCAUAAAACCCCAUAUAUAUAGACAAAAGCAUGACCACAUAGAAAGGCAACUUCAAUAUGAAUAAAGCACAUACCUUUACAUCAUUGAUUGCGCAUUCGUGGAGGCACAAUAUCCCCAAGUAACCCUUGAUCUUUAUGAGAAUCUUGAGAUGGUGGUUGAGCCAUCUUUUGAGAAAAAUGAUCUCCUGAUUCUUUCGACAGCACUUGUGGCUGGGGUUGCAGUGAACCAAUAGCGCGUACUUGAUCAUGGAACUGUGAUCUGGAACUAGAAUAGUUUACCGGGUUCAGGGCUAAGGAAUUGGGGGCCAAUUGUCUUGCAUAGACACCUUGAUCAUGGUGAGAUACUAGUCCUCUAGGGAACCCUAUCGAGUGAUGGCAGUGUUGCCCUUCAUAUGUUGUGAUUACAGUUGUAGGGUCUUCUGAUGAACGCUCAACGCGUUUCUUGACUGUGCAUUUGCUGUUUGUGCAACGGUAAUAGCUCCUUCAAAGAAUCAAAAAAAAAAAAUUUAAUUUGGAAUUUAAUUAAAACUAUUGAUUUAAAACAGCUUAUUUAACCACAAAGAAAUAAACAGAUCGAUAAGUAGUUUAGAUAAACAAUUCUUAAUCCUCAAAAGAAAUAACUCAUUCUUGUAUUAAGUUGUAAUAAGCCACUCGAAAAAAAAUAAAUAAAAAAACACAAUUAUUUAAAACAACCUUGAUUUCGGGUAACAACAUGCAUAUUUCUCUACCCUUCUUUGUACGUAAGGUAGCUCUUCUCAUUUUUUUUUUUUUUUUUUUUUGCAGCACCCCAUGCAUGUAUGUAUACUUAAAUAAUAAAAUCUGAGUGCACUAAUUUAAUGGAAGUUACAUAUAAAAACAAUAAUUAUAAAAA
Molecule: long non-coding RNA, 1030 nt
Filed under: Helianthus annuus (common sunflower)
Lineage: Eukaryota; Viridiplantae; Streptophyta; Magnoliopsida; Asterales; Asteraceae
Description: hypothetical non coding rna
Source: RNAcentral